Molecule: ribosomal RNA, 363 nt
Filed under: Tiarodes sp. 00052206
Lineage: Eukaryota; Metazoa; Arthropoda; Insecta; Hemiptera; Reduviidae
Description: partial 16S ribosomal RNA
Rfam family: Archaeal large subunit ribosomal RNA (bases 1-197)
Source: RNAcentral
UAUCAAAAACAUGUCCUUUUGUUGUUGAUAUAAGGUCUGGCCUGCCCAAUGAUGUUUUGAAUGGCCGCGGUAUCUUAACCGUGCUAAGGUAGCAUAAUCAUUUGUCUUUUAAUUAAAGGCUGGUAUGAAUGGUUGGACAAAGUAUUAGCUUUCUUUAACUUAUCUAAUUAAUUUAACUUUUAAGUCAAAAGGCUUAAAUUUAUUUAGGGGACGAGAAGACCCUAUAGAUCUUUACAUUUAAAUUACAAGAUUUGGUUUGGAGAAUUUUAUGUCUUGUGUAUUUACCUGUUUGGUUGGGGCGAUUGUGGAAUUUUAAUAACUUCCAUUGUUUAAUUUCAUUAAUUGAUGUGUUUUUGAUCCAUU